Molecule: ribosomal RNA, 505 nt
Filed under: uncultured bacterium
Lineage: Bacteria
Description: partial 16S ribosomal RNA
Rfam family: Bacterial small subunit ribosomal RNA
Source: RNAcentral
GACGAACGCUGGCGGCGUGCCUAAUACAUGCAAGUAGAACGCACAGUUUAUACCGUAGCUUGCUACACCAUAAACUGUGAGUUGCGAACGGGUGAGUAACGCGUAGGUAACCUGCCUGGUAGCGGGGGAUAACUAUUGGAAACGAUAGCUAAUACCGCAUAAUAUUAAUUAUUGCAUGAUAAUUGAUUGAAAGAUGCAAUUGCAUCACUACCAGAUGGACCUGCGUUGUAUUAGCUAGUAGGUGAGGUAACGGCUCACCUAGGCGACGAUACAUAGCCGACCUGGGAGGGUGAUCGGCCACACUGGGACUGAGACACGGCCCAGACUCCUACGGGAGGCAGCAGUAGGGAAUCUUCGGCAAUGGACGAAAGUCUGACCGAGCAACGCCGCGUGAGUGAAGAAGGGUUUCGGAUCGUAAAGCUCUGUUGUAAGAGAAGAACGGGUGUGAGAGUGGAAAGUUCACACUGUGACGGUAUCUUACCAGAAAGGGACGGCUAACUACGUG